UAGUUUAGUAAUUUAGAUAAAAUAUUUACCUUGAAAGUAAAAAAAAGAAAAAUUUCUCUAAACU
Molecule: transfer RNA, 64 nt
Filed under: Arytainilla spartiophila (broom psyllid)
Lineage: Eukaryota; Metazoa; Arthropoda; Insecta; Hemiptera; Psyllidae
Description: tRNA-Ser
Source: RNAcentral